RNAcentral lists this ribosomal RNA (305 nucleotides) under uncultured bacterium. Its description in RNAcentral is "bacterial SSU rRNA". It matches the Rfam family "Bacterial small subunit ribosomal RNA", at positions 337 to 659 of the family's 1533-position model. The record is from RNAcentral.
UCCUACGGGGCGCAGCAGUGGGGAAUAUUGCACAAUGGGGGAAACCCUGAUGCAGCGACGCCGCGUGAAGGAAGAAGUAUUUCGGUAUGUAAACUUCUAUCAGCAGGGAAGAAAAUGACGGUACCUGACUAAGAAGCCCCGGCUAACUACGUGCCAGCAGCCGCGGUAAUACGUAGGGGGCAAGCGUUAUCCGGAUUUACUGGGUGUAAAGGGAGCGUAGACGGCAUAGCAAGUCUGAAGUGAAAGCCCGUGGCUCAACCGCGGAACUGCUUUGGAAACUGUUAAGCUGGAGUACUGGAGAGGCA